This 253-nucleotide ribosomal RNA is filed under the name uncultured bacterium. RNAcentral's name for it is "partial 16S ribosomal RNA". It matches the Rfam family "Bacterial small subunit ribosomal RNA", at positions 524 to 776 of the family's 1533-position model. The record is from RNAcentral.
GACGUAGGGCGCGAGCGUUGUCCGGAUUUAUUGGGCGUAAAGAGCUCGUAGGCGGCUCGUUGCGUCGGCUGUGAAAACCCGCAGCUCAACUGUGGGCUUGCAGCCGAUACGGGCGGGCUGGGAUUCGGUAGGGGAGACUGGAAUUACUGGUGUAGCGGUGAAAUGCGCAGAUAUCAGGAGGAACACCGGUGGCGAAGGCGGGUCUCUGGGCCGAUAUCGACGCUGAGGAGCGAAAGCGUGGGGAGCGAACAGG